Molecule: unclassified non-coding RNA, 332 nt
Filed under: soil metagenome
Description: partial contains 5.8S ribosomal RNA, internal transcribed spacer 2, and large subunit ribosomal RNA
Rfam family: 5.8S ribosomal RNA (bases 1-120)
Source: RNAcentral
GAUGAAGAACGUAGCGAAAUGCGAUACGUAAUGUGAAUUGCAGAUUUCAGUGAAUCAUCGAAUCUUUGAACGCACAUUGCGCCCGCUAGUAUUCUGGCGGGCAUGCCUGUUCGAGCGUCAUUUCAACCAUCAAGCCCCCGGCUUGCGUUGGAGCCCUGCGGCUGCCGCAGGCUCCCAAAUCCAGUGGCGGGCUCGUCGUCGUACCGAGUGCAGUAAACAUCCUCGCUCAGGGAACGUGACGGGUUCUUGCCGUGAAACCCCCCACAUAUCAAGGUUGACCUCGGAUCAGGUAGGAAUACCCGCUGAACUUAAGCAUAUCAAUAAGCGGAGGA